UACGUAGGGUGCGAGCGUUAAUCGGAAUUACUGGGCGUAAAGCGUGCGCAGGCGGUAUGUUAAGUCUGAUGUGAAAGCCCCGGGCUCAACCUGGGAAUGGCAUUGGAAACUGGCUUGCUAGAGUGUGGCAGAGGGGGGUGGAAUUCCGCGUGUAGCAGUGAAAUGCGUAGAGAUGCGGAGGAACACCGAUGGCGAAGGCAGCCCCCUGGGCCGACACUGACGCUCAGGCACGAAAGCGUGGGGAGCAAACAGG
This 253-nucleotide ribosomal RNA is filed under the name uncultured bacterium. RNAcentral describes it as "partial 16S ribosomal RNA". It matches the Rfam family "Bacterial small subunit ribosomal RNA", at positions 524 to 776 of the family's 1533-position model. The record is from RNAcentral.